Molecule: ribosomal RNA, 460 nt
Filed under: uncultured bacterium
Lineage: Bacteria
Description: partial 16S ribosomal RNA
Rfam family: Bacterial small subunit ribosomal RNA
Source: RNAcentral
CCUACGGGAGGCAGCAGUGAGGAAUAUUGGUCAAUGGACGAGAGUCUGAACCAGCCAAGUAGCGUGAAGGAUGACUGCCCUAUGGGUUGUAAACUUCUUUUAUAUGGGAAUAAAACGUUCCACGUGUGGGAUUUUGUAUGUACCAUAUGAAUAAGGAUCGGCUAACUCCGUGCCAGCAGCCGCGGUAAUACGGAGGAUCCGAGCGUUAUCCGGAUUUAUUGGGUUUAAAGGGAGCGUAGGUGGAUUGUUAAGUCAGUUGUGAAAGUUUGCGGCUCAACCGUAAAAUUGCAGUUGAAACUGGCAGUCUUGAGUACAGUAGAGGUGGGCGGAAUUCGUGGUGUAGCGGUGAAAUGCUUAGAUAUCACGAAGAACUCCGAUUGCGAAGGCAGUUCACUGGACUGCAACUGACACUGAGGCUCGAAAGUGAGGGUAUCAAACAGGAUUAGAUACCCCAGUAGUC